Long non-coding RNA from Vidua macroura (Pin-tailed whydah), 343 nucleotides. RefSeq lists it as uncharacterized. NCBI's taxonomy places the organism in Eukaryota, Metazoa, Chordata, Aves, Passeriformes, Viduidae. The record is from RefSeq and is a predicted model, not a curated record. The transcript is spliced from 4 exons.
CCACCGUGACAGCUGGAGAGGCAACACAGCAAAGUACAGACAGUCUAGGAGGUUCCUGGAAAGCUUUGAUGAUCCCUUCCUGAGACAGAGGGUUGUAAAAUCUUCCAUGUGACCACAAAGAGCAGCGCGUUCACGGAGCAGUUCUCGCUUUUCUGCAAGCUGCAUUGCUGUGGCAUCAGGGCUCCAUAUCUACAAAAUAGAGGAACAGGUUCUUCCUCAGGUGGCUGAGAUACAUCUGGAGACUGAAGGGAAAGAAGGUUUCAGUGGCUCUGCUGGUUUUGGCUUCCCACCUUUUGCUGGCUUUGCUUCUUCUUUUUCUUGUUCUUCUUCCAAAAUUUGCAGU